RNAcentral lists this ribosomal RNA (444 nucleotides) under uncultured soil bacterium. RNAcentral's name for it is "bacterial SSU rRNA". It matches the Rfam family "Bacterial small subunit ribosomal RNA", at positions 26 to 518 of the family's 1533-position model. The record is from RNAcentral.
AGAACGAACGCUGGCGGCAUGCCUAAUACAUGCAAGUCGAACGAACACUUCGGUGUUAGUGGCGCACGGGUGCGUAACGCGUGGGAAUCUGCCCUUGGGUUCGGAAUAACAGUUGGAAACGACUGCUAAUACCGGAUGAUAUCGAAAGAUCAAAGAUUUAUCGCCCAGGGAUGAGCCCGCGUAGGAUUAGCUAGUUGGUGAGGUAAAGGCUCACCAAGGCGACGAUCCUUAGCUGGUCUGAGAGGAUGAUCAGCCACACUGGGACUGAGACACGGCCCAGACUCCUACGGGAGGCAGCAGUAGGGAAUAUUGGACAAUGGGCGCAAGCCUGAUCCAGCAAUGCCGCGUGAGUGAUGAAGGCCUUAGGGUGUAAAGCUCUUUUACCCGAGAUGAUAAUGACAGUAUCGGAGAAUAAGCCCCGGCUAACUCCGCGCCAGCAGCCGC